AGAACGAACGCUGGCGGCAGGCUUAACACAUGCAAGUCGAACGCCCCGCGAGGGGAGUGGCAGACGGGUGAGUAACGCGUGGGAAUCUACCCAGAACUUCGGAACAACUGAGGGAAACUUCAGCUAAUACCGGAUACGCCCUACGGGGGAAAGAUUUAUCGGUUCUGGAUGAGCCCGCGUUGGAUUAGCUAGUUGGUGGGGUAAUGGCCUACCAAGGCGACGAUCCAUAGCUGGUCUGAGAGGAUGAUCAGCCACACUGGGACUGAGACACGGCCCAGACUCCUACGGGAGGCAGCAGUGGGGAAUAUGGACAAUGGCGAAAGCCUGAUCCAGCCAUGCCGCGUGAGUGAUGAAGGCCUUAGGGUUGUAAAGCUCUUUCAGUAGGGAAGAUAAUGACGGUACCUACAGAAGAAGCCCCGGCUAACUACGCGCCAGCAGCCGC
This 442-nucleotide ribosomal RNA is filed under the name uncultured bacterium. Its description in RNAcentral is "SSU rRNA". It matches the Rfam family "Bacterial small subunit ribosomal RNA", at positions 26 to 518 of the family's 1533-position model. The record is from RNAcentral.